RNAcentral lists this ribosomal RNA (497 nucleotides) under uncultured bacterium. RNAcentral describes it as "partial 16S ribosomal RNA". It matches the Rfam family "Bacterial small subunit ribosomal RNA", at positions 28 to 507 of the family's 1533-position model. The record is from RNAcentral.
GAUGAACGCUGGCGGCGUGCCUAAUACAUGCAAGUCGAGCGACCGGACGAGAAGAUUGCUUCCCUGAUGUUAGCGGCGGACGGGCGAGUAACACGUGGAUAACCUACCUAUAAGACUGGGAUAACUUCGGGAAACCGGUGCUAAUACCGGAUGAUAUUUUGAACCGCAUGGAUCAAAAGUGAAAGACGGUCUUGCUGUCUCUUAUAGAUGGAUCCGCGCUGCAUUAGCUAGUUGGUAAGGUAACGGCUUACCAAGGCAACGAUGCAUAGCCGACCUGAGAGGGUGAUCAGCCACACUGGAACUGAGACACGGUCCAGACUCCUACGGGAGGCAGCAGUAGGGAAUCUUCGGCAAAGGGCGAAAGCCUGACGGAGCCACGCCGCGUGAGUGAUGAAGGUCUUCGGAUCGUAAAGCUCUGUUAUUAGGGAAGAACAGAUGUGUAAGUAACUGUGCACAUCUUGACGGUACCUAAACAGAAAGCCACGGCUAACUACGUG